GUGAGUAGCGAACCGAAAGGGGAGCGACCCGUCAAAUCGGGCCAUCACACAGGUGCUGCAUGGCUGUCGUCAGCUCGUGCCGUGAGGUGUUGGGUUCAGUCCCGCAACGAGCGCAACCCUCGCCCUUUGUUGCCAUCGGGUAAAGCCGGGCACUCUAAGGGGACUGCCAGCGACAAGUUGGAGGAAGGAGAGGAUGACGUCAAGUCAUCAUGGCCUUUAUGCCUAGGGCCACACACGUGCAACAAUGGCCGGUACAGACGGAGGCAAUGCCGAGA
RNAcentral lists this ribosomal RNA (275 nucleotides) under uncultured bacterium. Its description in RNAcentral is "partial 16S ribosomal RNA". It matches the Rfam family "Bacterial small subunit ribosomal RNA", at positions 989 to 1260 of the family's 1533-position model. The record is from RNAcentral.